Molecule: long non-coding RNA, 581 nt
Filed under: Phoenix dactylifera (date palm)
Lineage: Eukaryota; Viridiplantae; Streptophyta; Magnoliopsida; Arecales; Arecaceae
Description: long non-coding RNA (PDAC_LNC004222)
Source: RNAcentral
UUUUUGGGUAAACCGGCGUCUCACUAUACAUGGAUGUGAGUAUGCCACGAGCAAUCAGAAUACAAAACACGAUCGAGGCCAGUGCCAUCUCAUAAGAAAGCUCCGGAAUGAUAAGUUGCGGAGGAGGCGAUCCAGUCCGCCACACUGUUCGCCUUCUGAAAUAUAUGUGUAACCCAAAAAGAGUCAAGACUAUCCAGAAGGUGGCAUACAUUUCCGACUAGUAGGUGUAGAUCUGGCUUGACAUGCUCGCACCUAAUCCACUCAAUUACUGUGGCAGAAUCAUCCUCCAAAAAUAUCCGCUGAGUCUCCAAGUGCACAUAACUAUGGCCUUCAAUGAUCAAUUCACUCCUGAUCUCUGUUAUAUAGCACAGCCAUUUACACCACAAUCCAAGGGCAUCCCGUUAGAGUUCCUUUAUGUUGGCCCAAUAAUUUAUGAUAUAUAAGGAACCGUCACAUGCGCCGACAGUAAUUAUCAAACCACAUGGUCUCCUUUCUCAUCUCCUCCUCUUCUAAUAUCCCCUACAUCCUCAUUUCCAUCUUCAAUAAAUACAACAUCUUAUUUCAUCUUUAAACUUCCCUUG